This 479-nucleotide ribosomal RNA is filed under the name uncultured bacterium. RNAcentral's name for it is "partial 16S ribosomal RNA". It matches the Rfam family "Bacterial small subunit ribosomal RNA", at positions 28 to 507 of the family's 1533-position model. The record is from RNAcentral.
GAUGAACGCUAGCGGGAGGCCUAACACAUGCCAGCCGAGCGGUAGAGUUUCUUCGGAAACUUGAGAGCGGCGCACGGGUGCGUAACACGUGUGCAACCUACCUUUAUCUGGGGGAUAGCCUUUCGAAAGGAAGAUUAAUACCCCAUAAUAUAAUUAUUGGCAUCAAUUAUUAUUGAAAACUCCGGUGGAUAGAGAUGGGCACGCGCAAGAUUAGAUAGUUGGUGAGGUAACGGCUCACCAAGUAAAUGAUCUUUAGGGGUCAUGAGAGGGAGAUCCCCCACACUGGUACUGAGACACGGACCAGACUCCUACGGGAGGCAGCAGUGAGGAAUAUUGGACAAUGGGUGAGAGCCUGAUCCAGCCAUCCCGCGUGAAGGAUGACGGUCCUAUGGAUUGUAAACUUCUUUUGUACAGGGAUAAACCUACCCUCGGGAGGGUAGCUGAAGGUACUGUACGAAUAAGCACCGGCUAACUCCGUG